Ceratina calcarata is the source of this 901-nucleotide long non-coding RNA. RefSeq lists it as uncharacterized. The transcript is spliced from 2 exons. Lineage: Eukaryota; Metazoa; Arthropoda; Insecta; Hymenoptera; Apidae. The record is from RefSeq and is a predicted model, not a curated record.
GUAUUGGCACGGUAACGAGAUUUCAUCGUUAGAUACCAUAGUAAUUCGGUCAGUUCAUUACGGGCUACGAUUUCGCCCCGCUUGCUAAUGGAUCGCUUACAAAUGAGGAUAGAAAGGUGCAAAGGAAAAAAAGAUUGUGAGGAUCGCCGGUAUUCACGUUUGAUUAUUCACCGUCUGUUUGCGAGAUUCAACGGUCAAUAUCACGAUCGCAUUUAUACAUUCAGUUCCCAAUGAUUUCGUGAGAAGUAAGAAUUAACUUCAUGCCCCUAGUAAUCAUACAUAACAAAUACGACCUAAUACAACGUAAGGCUGUCUAAUAAAGAAAUGUAAUUUUGGAAUCAAAGGUACGAAAUGAGAAAUUGACCGCUCGACUAACAAAGCGUUUACGCGCAUAUGCGCGUGACGUUCGAUUAUUAUGAUUGAGUAAAAUCUGACGACAAGAAUGUAGGUCUGAAAGAAAAAUAGUUGCUAUUUCAUCUGUUAUGUUCAUCUUGUUGCCUUGCAUAUUUUAAUUGUAUUAUUUAUGGUCUUACAAAUGGAUCAGUGGAUAUGGUGGUAAAGAACGAUGUCUUUCCUCUUCGCUGACUUUAUCGUUAGCAGUUUGAUGACGAACUCACAGCUGUAUAUUGUAGAGGGCAUACUAAAUCUGUUAGUUUUUUACAACAAUCGGUAUUUCAGUAUUAAUGAUACUAUCAUGGAUUAGGUAUAUGAGUAGAUCUAUCAAAAUCGAUCAAUGCAUUUUUCCCCUUCUUGUGGUUUUAACGCCAGAUUAAAAUUUCCAUGUUACUGAUAAUGAUAUUAAUAAAUUAUGGGAAGCAAUCCUAACACUCAGUAUAGUACGAGAGCCAGUAAUGUAUUGUAAAAAUGGCUAAAUUCUGAUUAAUAAAUAAAUGGAAGCGAA